UUGCUGAUUUAGUUUAUUUUAAAAUUUAAUGUUAGGGGUAUUAAGAUUUUUUCAGUUAAAGAUUU
This 65-nucleotide transfer RNA is filed under the name Setaria digitata. Its description in RNAcentral is "tRNA-Pro". The record is from RNAcentral. Lineage: Eukaryota; Metazoa; Nematoda; Chromadorea; Rhabditida; Setariidae.